UCCGGUUGAUCCUGCCAGAGGUUACUGCUAUCGAGGUUCGACUAAGCCAUGCGAGUCGAAUGUAGCAAUACAUGGCGUACUGCUCAGUAACACGUGGACAACCUGCCCUUAGGUUGGGUAUAAACCCGGGAAACUGGGUAUAAUCCCCUAUAAGUCUCGGCUGCUGGAAUGCACCGAGAUUAAAAGCUCCGGCGCCUAAGGAUGGGUCUGCGGCCUAUCAGGUAGUAGUGGGUGUAGCGUACCUACUAGCCUACGACGGGUACGGGUUGUGAGAGCAAGAGCCCGGAGAUGGAUUCUGAGACACGAAUCCAGGCCCUACGGGGUGCAGCAGGCGCGAAAACUUUACAAUGCUGGCAACAGCGAUAAGGGAACCUCGAGUGCCAGGUUACAAAUCUGGCUGUCGAGAUGCCUAAAAAGCAUUUCAUAGCAAGGGCCGGGCAAGACCGGUGCCAGCCGCCGCGGUAACACCGGCGGCUCGAGUGGUAACCGUUAUUAUUGGGUCUAAAGGGUCUGUAGCCGGCCGGAUAAGUCUCUUGAGAAAUCUGGCAGCUUAACUGUCAGGCUUUCAGGAGAUACUGUCUGGCUCGAGGCCGGGAGAGGUGAGAGGUACUUCAGGGGUAGGGGUGAAAUCUUGUAAUCCUUGAAGGACCACCAGUGGCGAAAGCGUCUCACCAGAACGGACCUGACGGCAAGGGACGAAAGCUAGGGGCACGAACCGGAUUAGAUACCCGGGUAGUCCUAGCCGUAAACGAUACUCGCUAGGUGUCGGCCACGGUGCGACCGUUGUCGGUGC
RNAcentral lists this ribosomal RNA (793 nucleotides) under unidentified archaeon. RNAcentral's name for it is "bacterial SSU rRNA". It matches the Rfam family "Archaeal small subunit ribosomal RNA", at positions 1 to 801 of the family's 1478-position model. The record is from RNAcentral.